GUACUCACUUCAGAAGCACGUAUGCUAAAAUUGGAAUACAGAGAUAGCAUGACCUCUGUGCAAGGAUGACAUGAAUUCGUGAAGCAUUCCGCAUUUUU
Bos grunniens (domestic yak) is the source of this 98-nucleotide small nuclear RNA. NCBI's taxonomy places the organism in Eukaryota, Metazoa, Chordata, Mammalia, Artiodactyla, Bovidae. The record is from Ensembl.